AAAACUUUAGAUCAAGGCAGGAGGUUGGGAAACUUAGGUCCAGGCAGGAGGUUGGGAAACGUUAGAUCAAGACAAGAGGUUGGGAAACUUUAGAUCAAGGCAGGAGGUUGGAAAACUUUAGAUCAAGGCAGGAGGUUGGGAAACUUGAGAUCAAGGAAAGAGGUUGGGAAACUUGAGAUCAAGGCAGGAGGUUGGGAAACUUUAGAUCAAGGCAGGAAUUUGGAAAACUUGAGAUCAAGGCAGGAAUUUGGAAAACUUUAGAUCAAGGCAGGAGGUUGGGAAACUUUAGAUCAAGGCAAGAGGUUGGGAAACUUUAGAUCAAGGCAGGAAUUUGGAAAACUUUAGAUCAAGGCAGGAGGUUGGGAAACUUGAGAUCAAGGCAGGAGGUUGGGAAACUUAGGUCCAGGCAGGGGUUGGGAAACGUUAGAUCAAGACAAGAGGUUGGGAAACUUUAGAUCAAGGCAGGAGGUUGGGAAACUUGAGAUCAAGGCAAGAGGUUGGGAAACUUGAGAUCAAGGCAGGAGGUUGGGAAACUUUAGAUCAAGGCAGGAAUUUGGAAAACUUGAGAUCAAGGCAGGAAUUUGGAAAACUUUAGAUCAAGGCAGGAGGUUGGGAAACUUUAGAUCAAGGCAGGAAUUUGGAAAACUUUAGAUCAAGGCAGGAGGUUGGGAAACUUCAGAUCAAGGCAGGAAUUUGGAAAACUUUAGAUCAAGGCAGGAAUUUGGAAAACUUUAGAUCAAGGCAGGAGGUUGGAAAACUUUAGAUCAAGGCAGGAGGUUGGGAAACUUGGGUCCAGGCAAGAAGUUGAAAAAGUUUUAGAUCCAAGCUGUAGCUUACGAAUCCUUCAUUCCUGGCAGUGGUUGGGGAGGUUGAGAUCCAGGCAGGAGGUUGGGAAGCUUUAGAUCCAAGCUGUAGCUUGUGAAUCCUCCAUUCCUGGCAGUGGUUGGGGAGGUUGAGAUCCAGGCAGGAGGUUGGGAAACUUUAGAUCCAAACUGUAGCUUAUGAAUCCUUCAUUCCUGGCAGUGGUUGGGGAGGUUGAGAUCCAGGCAGGGGGUUGGGAAGCUUUAGAUCCAAGCUGUAGCUUGUGAAUCCUCCAUUCCUGGUAGUGAUUGGGGAGGUUGAGAUCCAGGCAGGAGGUUGGGAAACUUUAGAUGCAAGCAGAAGGUUGGAAAGCUUUAGAUCCAGGCUGGAGCUUAGGAUUCUGUAGGUUUAGGCAGGAGGUCAAGUGCUAUGAAAAUUUGAGAAAUGUCAUUUCAGGUCGAACUAUUUCACCAUCCUGACUUGAAACGUCCUUUAAACUAUAGAAAGGAGUCCCACCACAUUGGUGUUGAUUAUGAAUUUGGGUUUCCCAUUCCAAACUUGUUCAUGGAUCUGCCAUUCAUAGAUGUAUUUGUUUUUAUGUGUAUUGUUUGUACCAAAACUAUGGAAUAUAUAGCUGAACAGAUUGAGGGUAAUUCUGUAACUAUAACAACAAACAGUGAUGACAUGAACUUGCUGAAAAUUUUAGGGAUUUCAUGUAGUGAUUGGUUUCAAAGAUUUACAGUAAUAUAUACUUAAUCACAUAUUUCAUAAAAGGUCAAUUGAACAAUUUCUCCAGUCAGUAAUAUAUACCGGUAGAGGAAACUCCCCAAAUGUCUUGUGAUAUAAUUUAUUAGCAAUCCUCGGAUUUCAUACUUCUAUCAACUCAUGCUUAUAAAUUAUGAUAUCACAAGACAUGAGGCGGGUAUUCUUUUUAUCAUCCAUUAUCAUUCUUUUCAUUUGUGACAAUUCUAAAUAAUGUCAGUAAUGUGGGUUGCUAUAUUUGGCAGCGGUAGACUCGUUAACUAACAGAACGACAGUGGCGUGACAUCGCUAAUGAUAGGUUUAGCGCUAAAAUGUACACAGUGACGUAAGAAAAUACCGUCUGUCUAUAUAGAGGAUACUCCACGGGUGUCUUGUUAUUAAAAUUUGACCAAUCAAGAUUAUAAGAAGCGAUAUUUCCUAGGAGAACAUCGCCGAAGAUAUCGCAAAUUAUAGUUCCAAUGAUAUCUCCUACAAAAGCCUUUAAUGGAUGAUAAAGGAGUAUAUAUUACAGAUGGAAACAAAUUGUACAACAAAGAUAAACAGUUCAAAUGGCAGAAUUAAAACUUAAAUAAACUACAUACAAGUAGUCACUUGUUUGGCCUUGAAAACAUCGAAUUCAUCAGUCUGACAACCUGUAAUUAUUCAAUAUUUUGUGAAACUUUUAUGUUAAAUGUAUUUAUAAAAUUUAUGCUUUUCUUUUUGCUUGAAUUAUUAAAUAUUAAUAAAGCUAGCUUGUCAUUCAAGGAAAAUAACUGUACAGUGCUGUGAAAAUUUGUUGAUC
RNAcentral lists this long non-coding RNA (2344 nucleotides) under Gigantopelta aegis. RNAcentral's name for it is "uncharacterized LOC121383144". The record is from RNAcentral. Lineage: Eukaryota; Metazoa; Mollusca; Gastropoda; Neomphalida; Peltospiridae.